This 787-nucleotide ribosomal RNA is filed under the name uncultured bacterium. Its description in RNAcentral is "bacterial SSU rRNA". It matches the Rfam family "Bacterial small subunit ribosomal RNA", at positions 60 to 845 of the family's 1533-position model. The record is from RNAcentral.
AGUCGAGCGGUAGAGAGGAGCUUGCUUCUCUUGAGAGCGGCGGACGGGUGAGUAAUGCCUAGGAAUCUGCCUGGUAGUGGGGGAUAUCGUCCGGAAACGGACGCUAAUACCGCAUACGUCCUACGGGAGAAAGCAGGGGACCUUCGGGCCUUGCGCUAUCAGAUGAGCCUAGGUCGGAUUAGCUAGUUGGUGAGGUAAUGGCUCACCAAGGCGACGAUCCGUAACUGGUCUGAGAGGAUGAUCAGUCACACUGGAACUGAGACACGGUCCAGACUCCUACGGGAGGCAGCAGUGGGGAAUAUUGGACAAUGGGCGAAAGCCUGAUCCAGCCAUGCCGCGUGUGUGAAGAAGGUCUUCGGAUUGUAAAGCACUUUAAGUUGGGAGGAAGGGUACUUACCUAAUACGUGAGUAUUUUGACGUUACCGACAGAAUAAGCACCGGCUAUCUCUGUGCCAGCAGCCGCGGUAAUACAGAGGGUGCAAGCGUUAAUCGGAAUUACUGGGCGUAAAGCGCGCGUAGGUGGUUCGUUAAGUUGGAUGUGAAAUCCCCGGGCUCAACCUGGGAACUGCAUCCAAAACUGGCGAGCUAGAGUAUGGUAGAGGGUGGUGGAAUUUCCUGUGUAGCGGUGAAAUGCGUAGAUAUAGGAAGGAACACCAGUGGCGAAUGCGACCACCUGGACUGAUACUGACACUGAGUGCGAAGCGUGGGAGCAAACAGGAUUAGAUACCCUGGUAGUCCACGCCGUAAACGAUGUCAACUAGCCGUUGGGAGCCUUGAGCUCUUAGUG